Molecule: non-coding RNA, 3106 nt
Organism: Sus scrofa (pig)
Lineage: Eukaryota; Metazoa; Chordata; Mammalia; Artiodactyla; Suidae
Source: RefSeq, a predicted model, not a curated record
AGGGGGCGGGGCAGGGGGAGGGGCCACAGCCGCCUCCCGGACCGCCCAGCCCAGGCGCGGUGCGGCUCGGUGCGGUAAGCUGCAGAGCCCUGUUAACUAAAAAUGUAAUUUCAGAUUGGACAAUAUAACUAAGUAAAUGAAUUGUGUGGGACGCGUGUACCUGGGUUCCCAGCCAAAGCCAGAGAUCAAAGCAGAGAGAGGAUAUUGAGCUUCCUCCCAGAUCCCCGAGACGCUGUCCCGACAGUCCUGGAGGAGUGGCUCUUUCGGAAAUAGGACUGCAGGUGGAAGGAUGGCAGUGCCCCGUGGAGACCGGGAACCAGGGAGCUACUAUGUAGGUGUGGACGUGGGGACAGGCAGUGUCCGGGCAGCUCUGGUGGACCAGAGGGGCACCCUCGUGGCUUUUGCAGAUCAGCCAGUCAACCAGUGGGAGCCUCAAUUCAACCACCACGAGCAGUCCUCCGAGGACAUCUGGGCUGCGUGCUGUGUCGUCACAAAGAAAGUUGUACAAGGGAUCAAUUUAAACCGAAUUCGAGGGCUUGGGUUUGAUGCCACGUGUUCUCUGGUUGUUUUGGAUAAGGAGUUUCGCCCUUUACCAGUAAACCAUGAAGGGGAUCCCCAUCGAAACAUCAUCAUGUGGCUGGACCACCGGGCGAUCAGUCAGGUCCACAGGAUCAACGAAACCAAGCACAGUGUCCUUCAGUACGUCGGGGGCGUGAUGUCCGUGGAAAUGCAGGCGCCGAAGCUUCUGUGGCUCAAAGAGAACUUGAGAGAGACUUGCUGGGAUAAGGCGGGACAUUUCUUUGAUCUCCCAGACUUCUUAUCGUGGAAGGCAACAGGUGUCCCAGCACGGUCUCUCUGCUCCCUGGUGUGUAAAUGGACAUACUCAGCAGAGAAAGGCUGGGAUGACAGUUUCUGGAAGGUGAUUGGUUUGGAAGACUUGAUUGCAAAUAAUUACAACAAAAUAGGAAACAAAGUGCUGCCUCCUGGAGCUUCUCUUGGAAGUGGGCUCACACCAGAGGCUGCAAAGGACCUUGGCCUUCCUGCUGGAAUUGCCGUGGCUGCCUCACUUAUUGAUGCCCAUGCAGGAGGACUAGGAGUGAUUGGAGCAGAUGUGAGGGGGCACGGCCUCGCUUGUGAGGGACAGCCAGUGACGUCACGGCUGGCUGUCAUCUGUGGAACAUCUUCUUGUCACAUGGGGAUAAGCAAGAACCCAAUAUUUGUACCAGGUGUCUGGGGCCCUUAUUUCUCCGCCAUGGUCCCUGGGUUCUGGCUGAAUGAAGGUGGUCAGAGCGUUACUGGAAAACUGAUAGACCACAUGGUGCAGGGUCAUGCCGUCUUCCCUGAACUACAAGCCAAGGCCACAGCCAGAUGCCAGAGUGUAUAUGCAUAUUUGAACAGUCACCUGGAUCUGAUUAAGAAGACUCAGCCUGUGGGUUUCCUCACUGUGGAUUUACAUGUUUGGCCAGAUUUCCAUGGUAACCGGUCUCCCUUAGCAGAUCUGACACUAAAGGGCAUGGUCACCGGAUUGAAACUGUCUCAGGACCUGGAUGAUCUUGCCAUUCUCUACCUGGCCACAGUUCAAGCCAUUGCUUUCGGGACGCGCCUCAUUAUAGAGGCCAUGGAGACAGCAGGGCACUCCAUCAGCACCCUUUUCCUGUGUGGGGGCCUCAGCAAGAACCCCCUUUUUGUGCAAAUGCACGCAGACAUUACUGCCCCAUUUUUCACAGGGAAACCAGGUCUAAGAGGGUGUGAGUGACUGGCUGAAGGACACAGGGCUGGUCUUCGCAUCUGAAGCUUUUCCCAGAGACCCCACCCCAGCUGAUACCUGUCAGCCUUGUCUCCAGCAGUGGCCCUGUGGUAUGAGGCUGGUGUUCCUAAGUCCCCUGAGAUAUGUGUGGGAAUUCUCUCCCCUGUCCCCUUUGUCUGGGGUGGCUGGGGAGGAGGAUGAGGAGGAUGUGCCAGGGAGGUCUUCCUAAAAGAGAUAGGAAGAGAAAAUCCAGUCUUGGGACAACUGAUGUCUUGAGAAGAGGAAGAUCCUCCAGGUCUGGCUGCAGAGUUUACCUCUGUGGAGUUUGCUGCCAUCUCCUGAUUAGCACAUAUAUUUAUAUUUUUAUGUAUGUUUUCUUUCAUACACACACACAAGAUACUCAGAACCCUAAGUUAGUCCUAUUAACUGUAAGCCCAUGAGCCCUCAACCUCUGGGAAUUGGCAUGUGGAGUGUACCUCCAUGCCUGGUGAACCCCUCCCUACGCAUCCUCAAAUACCUGUUUAAUCCUGAGCAUCCCUGCUUGGACCCUGCCCCCAUCUCAAAAAUUCAUUCUUUCAUCAUGUAAGUACUUGCCCUGUGCUAGAUCCUGGUCUCCCUUCUGGAUCCAGCAAUGGGCAAAAUAAAGACCCUGCCCUCAUGGAGCUUAUAUUCUACUAGGGGAGACAGAGAGUAAAGAGGAUAUGUCAUAACAUGGGGAGGAAACAGUGAAACAGUGUGUGGGGGUGAGGGGUGUCGUGGGUAAGUUGUCAUUUCAUGUCGAAUGGUCAGGAAAGCUGCAGGGGGAUGGGCAUGUUUACACAGACUUGCAGGAAGGAGAGGGUGUUGUCAUAGGGACAUCUGGAAGGAAGCACCCCAGACAGAGGGGACAGCACAGGCAAGGGCCCCGAGGUAGGCUCAAGAGAGAGCAAGGAGGCCAGGCAGUGUGGCAGUGAGAAGAGGAGAGGCCAGUCAGGGUGGAAGAAGUGACACCCAUCCUGGAGGGCCUUGUCAGCCUUGGCAGGGGCUUUGGCUGGUGCUCUGAGAGAAAUAGGAAGAAAUAAGAAGCCUCCGGAAGAAUUAAUCACACCCUCUCUUACGACUUCCCUUUUCUUAGUGCUUCUCAGUUGCAGACCCAGCCCCUCUGCUCGGCCUUUAUCUCUUGCUCAUCCAUCCCCUUUGAGACCUGAAUAUGAAUAGCAAGACACCCUGUAUUCUCUGGGCUUAGCAGGGCACUUGAUCAGUGUUUGUUGAACUACUUGAAAUGGCAUGCCUGUGGUCCUGUCGCAAGAGGUGGAGUCUGUUCUUGUGGGCGCUGCUAUUCUGGGGGCCUGUGCUUCGGGGGAUUUUGCUUCUGUACAG